CCCGCGCAGACAGAAAAGACUUGCAACAUCCCCUCACAUAUUCCUGCCCUGUACACUCACCCUGCCUUCCACUAGAUAAAUACCAGCUGGCCUGUCAGUUUCUGUGCCUGCUCCAGGCUGUAGGACCUCUCUGCAGCUCCUGAGGUUUCCCUUGGUCCACAUACAGCAUCUCACCAGCUGAGAAAGUACUGGCUUGCUUAAGGGGACUGCAUCAGGUUGAGUGCACAGAUUUCUAAGAGCAUAAGACAAUCAAGAACAUUGUCACCGCAGCCACCUUGCCCUUUCUUUUGUGAAAGGUGCAACAAAACAACUGGGCUUCAUUUCCCCACUUGUGCAACCCAGUCCAAAAGCAAGAGAACUGCAAAUCAAGAAUUCCUUAGAGUAAAUGAUGCAUGAGGAAGGUCUGCAGGACAUGAGACAAGGGCUUAUUUUCACCAUUUCAGCACUG
RNAcentral lists this long non-coding RNA (448 nucleotides) under Cyanoderma ruficeps (rufous-capped babbler). RNAcentral describes it as "lncRNA (ENSCRFG00000011037.1)". The record is from RNAcentral. Lineage: Eukaryota; Metazoa; Chordata; Aves; Passeriformes; Timaliidae.